Molecule: unclassified non-coding RNA, 228 nt
Filed under: Archaeospora sp.
Lineage: Eukaryota; Fungi; Glomeromycota; Glomeromycetes; Archaeosporales; Archaeosporaceae
Description: partial contains 5.8S ribosomal RNA and internal transcribed spacer 2
Rfam family: 5.8S ribosomal RNA (bases 1-71)
Source: RNAcentral
GUGAAUCAUCGAAUUUUUGAACGCACAUUGCACUCUCUGGUAUUCCGGAGAGUAUGCCUAUUUGAGGGUCAUUUGAAAUAAUAUAAAUUUCGUGAUUUUCUUGGAAUCAAAAAUGGGACGGUCCAGCUUUUGGGUGGUGGUCGCCUAAAAUGCAAGACAAGCUCAUUUAUUGGGUCGCGUGAUACUUUCAGUUACUUCGUGUCUUUACAAGGAAUCUUCGCGCGUGUU